RNAcentral lists this ribosomal RNA (385 nucleotides) under uncultured bacterium. Its description in RNAcentral is "bacterial SSU rRNA". It matches the Rfam family "Bacterial small subunit ribosomal RNA", at positions 370 to 772 of the family's 1533-position model. The record is from RNAcentral.
AAUGGGCGAAAGCCUGACCCAGCCAUGCCGCGUGAAUGAUGAAGGCCUUAGGGUUGUAAAGUUCUUUCGCAGGUGAAGAUAAUGACGGUAACCUGAUAAGAAGCCCCGGCUAACUUCGUGCCAGCAGCCGCGGUAAUACGAAGGGGGCUAGCGUUGUUCGGAANUACUGGGCGUAAAGCGCAGGUAGGNGGNUNUACAAGCCAGAGGUGAAAUCCCGGAGCUCAACUUCUGAAUNGCCUUUGGAGCUGCAGAACUGGAGUAUCGGAGGGGAUGGUGGAAUUCCAAGUGUAGAGGUGAAAUUCGUAGAUAUUUGGAGGAACACCGGUGGCGAAGGCGGCCAUCUGGACGAUUACUGACGCUGAGAUGCGAAAGCGUGGGGAGCAAA